This 585-nucleotide ribosomal RNA is filed under the name uncultured Cortinarius. RNAcentral describes it as "eukaryotic LSU rRNA". The stretch from base 210 to 363 matches the Rfam family "5.8S ribosomal RNA". Lineage: Eukaryota; Fungi; Basidiomycota; Agaricomycetes; Agaricales; Cortinariaceae. The record is from RNAcentral.
AAGUCGUAACAAGGUUUCCGUAGGUGAACCUGCGGAAGGAUCAUUAUUGAAAUAAACCUGAUGGGUUGUUGCUGGUUCUCUAGGGAGCAUGUGCACACCUUGUCAUCUUUAUAUCUCCACCUGUGCACUUUUUGUAGACCUUUCAGGUCUAUGUUGCUUCAUUUACCCCAAUGUAUGUUAAUAGAAUGUUGUGCCUAUAUAAUAUAUACAACUUUCAGCAACGGAUCUCUUGGCUCUCGCAUCGAUGAAGAACGCAGCGAAAUGCGAUAAGUAAUGUGAAUUGCAGAAUUCAGUGAAUCAUCGAAUCUUUGAACGCACCUUGCGCUCCUUGGUAUUCCGAGGAGCAUGCCUGUUUGAGUGUCAUUAAUAUAUCAACCUUCUCUUUUUUGAGUUGUUUGGAUGUGGGGGUUUGCUGGCAUCUUAAAUGAUUCAGCUCCCCUGAAAUGCAUUAGCAGAACAACCUGUUCAUUGGUGUGAUAAUUAUCUAUGCUAUUGAGUGUGAGGGCAGUUCAGCUUUCUAACCGUCCUCGGACAAUUCAUCAUUAAUGUGACCUCAAAUCAGGUAGGACUACCCGCUGAACUUAA